RNAcentral lists this ribosomal RNA (550 nucleotides) under uncultured bacterium. RNAcentral describes it as "bacterial SSU rRNA". It matches the Rfam family "Bacterial small subunit ribosomal RNA", at positions 355 to 896 of the family's 1533-position model. The record is from RNAcentral.
UGGGGAAUAUUGGACAAUGGGCGAAAGCCUGAUCCAGCCAUGCCGCGUGUGUGAAGAAGGUCUUCGGAUUGUAAAGCACUUUAAGUUGGGAGGAAGGGCAGUAAGUUAAUACCUUGCUGUUUUGACGUUACCAACAGAAUAAGCACCGGCUAACUUCGUGCCAGCAGCCGCGGUAAUACGAAGGGUGCAAGCGUUAAUCGGAAUUACUGGGCGUAAAGCGCGCGUAGGUGGUUCAGCAAGUUGGAUGUGAAAUCCCCGGGCUCAACCUGGGAACUGCAUCCAAAACUACUGAGCUAGAGUACGGUAGAGGGUGGUGGAAUUUCCUGUGUAGCGGUGAAAUGCGUAGAUAUAGGAAGGAACACCAGUGGCGAAGGCGACCACCUGGACUGAUACUGACACUGAGGUGCGAAAGCGUGGGGAUCAAACAGGAUUAGAUACCCUGGUAGUCCACGCUGUAAACGAUGAAUACUAGGUGUCGGGGAGCAAAGCUUCUCGGUGCCGUCGCAAACGCAAUAAGUAUUCCACCUGGGGGAGUACGUUCGCAAGAAUG